This 253-nucleotide ribosomal RNA is filed under the name uncultured bacterium. RNAcentral's name for it is "partial 16S ribosomal RNA". It matches the Rfam family "Bacterial small subunit ribosomal RNA", at positions 524 to 776 of the family's 1533-position model. The record is from RNAcentral.
UACGGAGGGGGCUAGCGUUGUUCGGAAUUACUGGGCGUAAAGCGCACGUAGGCGGCUUUGUAAGUUAGAGGUGAAAGCCCGGAGCUCAACUCCGGAAUUGCCUUUAAGACUGCAUCGCUAGAAUCAUGGAGAGGUUAGUGGAAUUCCGAGUGUAGAGGUGAAAUUCGUAGAUAUUCGGAAGAACACCAGUGGCGAAGGCGACUAACUGGACAUGUAUUGACGCUGAGGUGCGAAAGCGUGGGGAGCAGACAGG